RNAcentral lists this ribosomal RNA (468 nucleotides) under uncultured bacterium. RNAcentral describes it as "partial 16S ribosomal RNA". It matches the Rfam family "Bacterial small subunit ribosomal RNA", at positions 28 to 507 of the family's 1533-position model. The record is from RNAcentral.
GACGAACGCUGGCGGCGUGCUUAACACAUGCAAGUCGAACGGAAAGGCCCUGCGUUUGUGGGGUGCUCGAGUGGCGAACGGGUGAGUAACACGUGAGUAACCUGCCCUUGACUUUGGGAUAACUUCAGGAAACUGGGGCUAAUACCGGAUAGGAGCUCCUGCUGCAUGGUGGGGGUUGGAAAGUUUCGGCGGUUGGGGCUGGACUCGCGGCUUAUCAGCUUGUUGGUGGGGUAGUGGCUUACCAAGGCUUUGACGGGUAGCCGGCCUGAGAGGGUGACCGGCCACAUUGGGACUGAGAUACGGCCCAGACUCCUACGGGAGGCAGCAGUGGGGAAUAUUGCACAAUGGGCGGAAGCCUGAUGCAGCAACGCCGCGUGCGGGAUGACGGCCUUCGGGUUGUAAACCGCUUUCGCCUGUGACGAAGCGUGAGUGACGGUAAUGGGUAAAGAAGCACCGGCUAACUACGUG